CAAACUUCAGUUUCCAUAGAAAUGUAGGUUUAUUUAGAAAAGCACAGUGUAAAAAAAGUUGCCUAACUGACACUGGACGUCCUUGUGCUCGUAGGGCUUCAAAAUAAACAAAAGAGCCAAUUUAUUUUAAGGAGGCAUUUGCAUAUAAACAACAUUUCAGUCCAACUACCUCGACAUAUUAAGAAAUGUUUGGUAAUGGGACUGAAAUGGUGAAUGUAUGCUGUUGCACAGCUGUAAAAAACAAAUUAUGUUAUCUUGUUGAUUUUGAAGUUCUAAGAGUUUGUUCUUCACUUUGGCUGAGAUCAUCAAACUUGAUGAUCUCAGCCAAUCCAAUGCUUUCCCAUUGGAAAGCAUUGUUAGGCUCUUGUGCAUGUGUGGCAAAAAGCUUCACGGUCAAUCAGCAUCUCCAUGGGGAGCGUUCAGCGCCCCCACGCAGACCCAAUCUAAUACACUGCCCACAAAUCCAAUACAUUGCCCCCAAAUCCAACACACUGCCCUUCCUCCCUCCACUCAUCCACUCCACCAUACACUGCCCCUUCACCCAAUCUAAUACAUUUCCCCUCCUCCCUCCACUCUAAUUGAAUAGACUGCGCCCACUCCCACCACUCUACUUUAAUACACUGCCCUCCCCCCAAUUUAACACACUCACACCCUCCCUCCCUUAAAUAAAUAUACUUAAUAGUGCCCCCUCACUCCCUCCCUCAAAUUAACAGAGUUCCUCCUCCCUCCCUCAAAUUAAUACGAUGCCCAAUUCCUCCCUCAAAUUAAGAGUGCCUCC
This is a non-coding RNA of Pelobates cultripes (western spadefoot toad), 778 nucleotides long. Lineage: Eukaryota; Metazoa; Chordata; Amphibia; Anura; Pelobatidae. The record is from the annotation of a GenBank genome assembly.